UAUGUGAUCGUCUCUUGCAUAUCAAUAAGCGGAGGAAAAGAAACUAACAAGGAUUCCCCUAGUAACGGCGAGUGAAGCGGGAAGAGCUCAAAUUUGAAAUCUUAAAGGGUUUCCCUUUACGAAUUGUAGUUUAAAGAAGUGUUUUCUGUUGAGGUUUUGGUAAAAGUUCUUUGGAAUAGGACAUCAUAGAGGGUGAGAAUCCCGUAUUUGACCUUUACUUUCAACUUUGUGAUACACUUUCAAAGAGUCGGAUUGUUUGGGAAUGCAGUCCAAAAUGGGUGGUAAAUUUCAUCUAAAGCUAAAUAUUGGCGAGAGACCGAUAGCGAACAAGUACCGUGAGGGAAAGAUGAAAAGAACUUUGAAAAGAGAGUUAAACAGUACGUGAAAUUGUCAAAAGGGAAGCGUUUGACACCAGUGUUGUUUUUCUGAAAAUCAAUUAAAGAACUGUUUAUGCUAAGUUGUUUAGACUUUAUCAGCUAACUGUUUAGUUUUGAGCUUUUCUUUAAUGCACUUUUCAGUUAACAAGUCAACAUCAAUUUCUUUUGCUGUAAAAAAGCUUGAGGAAGGUGGCUUGAGAUUCGUCUUAAGUGUUUAUAGCCUCUUGCCUAUGCAGUCGGAGAGAUUGAGGUCUGCAGCGUAGAUCCUUCGGGGCUAAAUGCAUUUGUGCUAAGUUAUAGCAUUUUAUAGACAACUUGUUGACUAUGAUUUGUCUUGUAGCUUACUCGCUUAUGUUAUUUUACCUACGCUUAGGAUGUUGACACACGCGCGUGCUCG
RNAcentral lists this ribosomal RNA (774 nucleotides) under uncultured Neocallimastigales. RNAcentral's name for it is "partial large subunit ribosomal RNA". It matches the Rfam family "Eukaryotic large subunit ribosomal RNA", at positions 23 to 643 of the family's 3401-position model. The record is from RNAcentral. Lineage: Eukaryota; Fungi; Neocallimastigomycota; Neocallimastigomycetes; Neocallimastigales.